UACGUAGGGUGCAAGCGUUGUCCGGAUUUAUUGGGCGUAAAGCGCUCGUAGGCGGUUUGGUAAGUCGGGUGUGAAACCUCCAGGCUCAACCUGGUGACGCCACCCGAUACUGCCAUGACUUGAGUUCGGUAGGGGAGCGGGGAAUUCCUGGUGUAGCGGUGAAAUGCGCAGAUAUCAGGAGGAACACCGGUGGCGAAGGCGCCGCUCUGGGCCGAAACUGACGCUGAGGAGCGAAAGCGUGGGGAGCAAACAGG
This 254-nucleotide ribosomal RNA is filed under the name uncultured bacterium. RNAcentral describes it as "partial 16S ribosomal RNA". It matches the Rfam family "Bacterial small subunit ribosomal RNA", at positions 524 to 776 of the family's 1533-position model. The record is from RNAcentral.